AAGUGAACAUGUUAAAAAUGUCCAACUAAACCUUGUUCCCGGAGAAGGGACAAUAAGGAUUAAAAAGUUCGGGGGUGGUUCUGCACUAGCUCCGGGAUGGGAGCUAACCAGAGCUGUUGUGCCUACAGUACUCCGAGAACUGGGAGUAAGAAGGAUAAAAACAGAAAAGAGGUUGAACGGCAGGAUGAUAAAUACGAACCAAGACAGGUUACUGCUGGAAGGAGGGAGGAGAGUAUGGGAAACCUGCAGCAUAUAUCUGAACGGGAACCUGAUGAUUGGGAAGAUGAUCCUAGUUUGCAUCCUACAACAGAAACAAUGUUCAUGGAAAAAUCUAAGCAAAGCAUUAGGAACGGUAUGGUCCGAAAACGUUCCCAGAUGCAGUUGGCGAACUCUAAUUCUCUGGGAGACUUCAUGACGUUAAAGAAAGCGUCCUCCUGUUCCACUAUAUAUAUAGACGAUAGUACCGUCUCUCAACCUAACCUUAAGAACACUAUAAAGUGCGUGUCCCUUGCCAUCUACUAUCAUAUAAAGAAUAGAAAAUCAGACGGAAUACUGGAUAUAUUUGACGAGAAAAAGAGUCCUUUAACGAGAGAGACUGUUCCGGAUGAGUAUAACAAGUACAACCCGGAUCACAGACAGAUUUACAAGUUUAUCCGAACCCUGUUUAACGCAGCUCAGCUUACGGCUGAGUGUGCUAUCAUCACCUUGGUUUACUUAGAAAGAUUAUUAACGUAUGCUGAGAUUGAUAUUGCUCCUGGAAGUUGGAAAAGAAUAACUCUCGGAGCUAUUCUUUUAUCGAGCAAGGUAUGGGAUGACCAGGCUGUGUGGAAUGUUGAUUAUUGUCAGAUUCUCAAAGAUCUAACCGUAGAAGACAUGAACGAGCUAGAACGACAGUUCCUGGAACUCUUACAGUUCAAUAUAAACGUUCCUAGUAGUGUUUAUGCUAAAUAUUUCUUCGACCUGAGAACCCUGGCAGAAGCUAAUGAUCUCUCCUACCCUGCAGAACCUCUUUCUAAGGAGCGAGCUCAGAAACUAGAGGCAAUGUCAAGGUUUUGUGAAGAUAAAAUUUCUGGAGAAAUUUUGCAGCAAAACGGUGUCAAAAGAUCCAAUUCUUUAGACAGACUAACAUCGAACAGAAGAAGUGUCGCGAUCCUAUCUUGAGGUUACAUUCAGUUAAAUAUUAUUAGAGGAGCUUCAAAACAUCCCAUCCACCCUCAGUUAAAAUCGGCAGUCAAGGUCCCACCGAUUCUUGAACAAAAUAGGCCAUUUCCGGCCUAGAGACAAAUAAUUACUCGUGCCAUCUUAUACAUCCAUUCCUUUGUUAUAUCCUUGUAUCAAUGGAGUGAUUAAAUAUCACCCUGUAUCAUCAUAAUUUAAAAUUCUUAUAGUUAACUUAAUUAUUUAUAAAAUUUUAUUAUUUUACAUCACUUUCAUGUUGUACAUACUACAUAUUACAUAUAAUGUAUUGUUCUAAACUUAUUACCAUAUUAACCCUACUCUCCCUACAUUGAAUCAAAUUAGCAGAGAUGUUACAUUAGAACGAUAAGAAGAAAUUCCGCACAACAUUACAAUUAUUCAGCUACAACAUUGUUCAGUUACAACAUUGUUCAAUUAUUCAGCGAUUAAUUAACUAAAUUGAAAACCACGACCUGUCUAUCGGGGGUAUACCAACCCCAUUCCCUUUGAAAAUCAUCUGUUCCCUAUUUGUGUGGUAAUUCUUAUGAAAAUGAUCUGAAAGCAAUAACUAACUUCAGUUGUUUAUUUUUAUUUUCAACUCCGAUCAAAAUGGAAAAGCGUACUUUUUUAUACAUUUUUACAUACAACCCAAAUCAGUCAAACUAUAAAGAUAUUCAUGUACUAAUGCUGUAGUAUAAAAGUAGCAAUGCUAUCGGAUUAUAUAAAUGUAAAUGACUCUUGUGAAGCAUAAUAUCUAAUGGACGGUGUUUUAUUUACUUCCAUCCUUCAAAUUUUAUUGAUCUAUUUUAAGUAAUUUCACUUUCAUUAAAUGCUCAGAGCUGAAAACUUUAGAAUGCUCAGUUAAUAUUUUUCUCCGCUAUAUAUUGUUCCUUCUCCAACCUGCAUCAAGGCAGAUAGUUAAAAAGUAAUUAAAUAAUAACCUGUAAAAUGUUUA
RNAcentral lists this unclassified non-coding RNA (2131 nucleotides) under Eurytemora carolleeae. RNAcentral describes it as "cyclin-Y-like protein 1". Lineage: Eukaryota; Metazoa; Arthropoda; Copepoda; Calanoida; Temoridae. The record is from RNAcentral.